ACCUGAGUGGCUCAGUCGGUUAAGCAUCUGACUUCAGCUCAGGUCAUGAUCUCGCGGUUUGUGAGUUCGAGCCCCGCGUCAGGUG
This 85-nucleotide transfer RNA is filed under the name Felis catus (domestic cat). It matches the Rfam family "tRNA". From Rfam's summary of the family: Transfer RNA (tRNA) molecules are approximately 80 nucleotides in length. Their secondary structure includes four short double-helical elements and three loops (D, anti-codon, and T loops). The record is from Rfam by way of RNAcentral. Lineage: Eukaryota; Metazoa; Chordata; Mammalia; Carnivora; Felidae.